CGAACGGGUGAGUAAUGCGUGACCAACCUGCCCCAUGCUCCAGAAUAGCUCUUGGAAACGGGUGGUAAUGCUGGAUGCUCCAACUUGACGCAUGUCUUGUUGGAAAGUGUUUAGUGGCAUGGGAUGGGGUCGCGUCCUAUCAGCUUGUAGGCGGGGUAAUGGCCCACCUAGGCUUCGACGGGUAGCCGGCCUGAGAGGGCGGACGGCCACAUUGGUACUGAGAUACGGCCCAGACUCCUACGGGAGGCAGCAGUC
This 255-nucleotide ribosomal RNA is filed under the name uncultured Gardnerella sp. Its description in RNAcentral is "partial 16S ribosomal RNA". It matches the Rfam family "Bacterial small subunit ribosomal RNA", at positions 99 to 355 of the family's 1533-position model. The record is from RNAcentral. Lineage: Bacteria; Bacillati; Actinomycetota; Actinomycetes; Bifidobacteriales; Bifidobacteriaceae.